RNAcentral lists this ribosomal RNA (3120 nucleotides) under Triticum aestivum (bread wheat). RNAcentral describes it as "partial small subunit ribosomal RNA". The record is from RNAcentral. Lineage: Eukaryota; Viridiplantae; Streptophyta; Magnoliopsida; Poales; Poaceae.
AUGGGCGCGCAGCGGCAGGCAGCGACGCGGACAGCCCGGCGCGGAUUCCUGCUGCCCCCCGGACCGCCGGGCAGGGUGGUUCGGCCGUCGUCAGAGGAGAGCGCCGUGCGCGCGUGCGCGCGCUGCCCUGGCCCCGGUGGAAAAUGUGUCGGAGGCACGGCGGUGAAGGGUCGCUGCCAUGCACACGCACCACGCACGCCCUCUCGUGCGCUCCAGGUAGCAGAUGUUAACGAGGUAGUGCUAACCACUUGGUGCUGGGGGUCGGGGACCGUGGGUGCAUGUGCUCCUGUCGGCCUGGCCUGGAUGCAUGGCCAACUUCACCGCGUGACCCUAUCCUGCCCGCCCCCGUCCGUUUGGGAUAAAAAGGACAAAAGAGACGGCCCAGCGCGCGGGCGCAAACGGACUUUGUGUCCGCUUUGUGUCCGCUUUCGACCCAUCCCGGCUCAAAUUUGUGCUGGUUUUGGGGUGAAACGGACAGCGCGCGGACGGGCGGGACGGGCGCGUUUGUCCUCCCCUGGCCCGCCCGUCGGUGGGAGAAACCAAACCCCCUCCCCCCCGCCCAUUUGGCGCCAUUUGCCCCAAACCCUCCCGCCUCCCUCCCGCCGCCCCCUCUCUCCUCCGUCCAUGGCCGACGCCCCGUCGAGUCCCGGCGGCCUGGCCACCGUCCCGCCCGCAAAGGUGAAGAAGAAGGCUCCAAGAAAACCGCGGUCGGAGUACACGCCGGAGGAGAUCGCCAAGUUGGACGCGGAAUCGGCGAAGAGGAGGGAACGGAGAGCGGUCGUCAAGCUCAAUGCCGCCGCGGCCAAGAGAGCCGCCAUGCGCGAGGAGUUGGAGGCCGCGCGGCGCAAGGCCGCUGCCGACGAGAAGGAGGACCUCAUCAACAAAGCUCACGCCAUCCUCAUGCUUGGCAUGGGCCGUCCUGCCGGGUUCCCUGCAGCGGUCGUCGCACCGGCGAGCACCAGCUCGUCAGUUGCGCGGCCUACGCACUGCCAGUCGCCGACGUCGCGCACCACGCCCAUGUCGCCCGGCUUCCCUCCGCCAAGGCACGACGGACAGACCCGUUUCUCGGGGUCGCCGGAGGUGGGCUUGUUCGUGCCGUCCACACCGCGCCCCGCGGCCGUCAUCGACCUCAACGUCACGCCCGGGUCCAGCAGCGGCGGGCGGCCGUCCGUCGAGAUGCUAAGAAAGCAGGCACGGGCACCGUUCACGGGCACCAUGCCGGCCCCCCGUGUCUUGUUUGACGGAAUGCCAACCCCAACGCCAGCGGUCGACGACCCCUUCUACAACCGGUACAUGGAGGACGUGAUCUUCGACGGUGGCCAUGGCCGUACCUACGACGUCGAUGAGACCCAAAGCCAGGAUGGUCGUGCCCAGUACGUCCCCGAUGAAGAGGCCGACGAACGUGCUGACUACGACUACGGUGACUCGUGGCAUGAAGACGAUGACAUCUAUGUCGAAGGUGAUGAAGAAGAAGAAGAAAGCAAUGACGUUGAUAUUAGUGGUGCGCCAUUGUUCAUCGACGAGCUCACCCAAAGAGCGGAGGCACAAAAGAAGAGGAAGAGCAUUCACACGGGUUCAUAUACACAAGAUGAGGACAAGUUGAUUUGCCAAGUUUGGAUGGAGAUUAGCCAAGAUCCGAGGACCGGCGCGCAACAAAAGGGCAUUGCAUUCCAAUCUUUGGAGGCAUUCAAGGGCCGGCACAAUGACAAGCCAUUCACUCUUACGCAUUGUUGGACGCUCAUCAACAUGUGCCCUAAGUUCAAGGACCAAUCCCGUGAACUACAAAGGAAAAGAGGACUGAAGACGGCCAAGUUCGCCGGAGGUGGAGAUGGCGAGGCGUUGAAGAGGCCGAGGGGCAAGACCAACUCCAAGGUGGACGACAUAUGUGACGCCUCAUCCAUGGCCUUGCAUGAGACUUUGCAUGGCAUGAUGUCCCAAAAGGAUGUGAGGGACGAGAAGAAGCAGCAAAGCAAGGACGAGCAAAUGAAGCAAUACCUAGACCUUCAAAGACAGAAGCUUGAGAUGGAGGAGGCGGCCAAGAAGAGGAAGCUCGACAUGGAGGAGGCGUCCCGGCAAAGGCAGCUCGACAUGGAGGAGGCGGCCCGGCAAAGGCAGCUGGACAUCGAGGCCGACAACGUCAAGGCCAGGCAGAGGCAGCUCGACAUCGAGGCCACCAAUGCCGCCACCAAAGCGAAGGAGGUGGCCCUUGCGAUCAUGAGCGUGGACUUGUCGAAGAUGAGCGACAAGACGAGGGCCUGGUUCGAGGCCAGGCAGAAGGAGAUGCUCGACGCCGAAGGCCGGUUGUGUUGCCGGCGAGAAGAACUAUUCAUUUUGGAGGCUGGCUGUGUUGCCGGCCGCUGGUUGAUGCCGGCGAUAGACGUGAUGGGGCAAAUGGAUGCGGCCGCGCGCUGCGCGCAUGGCCACCGCAUCCCAGGACACGCCCGAACACGGCCCCAAACCCCUACCCAAACAGACCGAAUUUGGACAAAACGGACAUCCGUUUGGGGUGGAGUUGGCCUAAUUACUAGAACAAGCCGGCCAAUCCCGUGCGAGCGUCUGCCGCCUCCUUGUCCGUCGGAUGCACCGUUGAUCAGACGGUCGAGAGCGACCCCUUCCCAUCUCCACGUAUCUGCAACUAGUGCUUUGUUUCAGGGAUGGAGUUUGCAACUAGCCUAUUGUUACAAACCGAAUAGGGCUAGAUCCUGCAGUGCACGGAGUAGGGAGGGCGACAGCGGCCAAGUCGAGCGCCGCCGCCUGUACGUCAUCAUCGCCAAGCACAUCCAUGUCGGAUCUCCGCCGCCAAACGCCUCGCCGCCGAGCGGAUCGACGGAUCCGGCGAGAUCCGCCAUGUCCGUCGUGGAGCACCAUGAACUUCAUGGCCCUCGCUGGCAGCAACCACAUCACCGCACACUAGCGAACAAGAAAAACGUUCAAGUACCCCGCUUCGAUAGGCUGGUAGCAUUGAAGCCCAAGCCCUAUUUACUUGAGAUGAAACAGAGCAUUGACUCUCCCUCAACUCUCUCGCUCGUAUUGCCCAGUUUGGAAAAACUACAUAUCAAGGGUGGACUUGCAACUGGGACAAAAGAAAAUAGACCCCCAAAUUGCAUGUCACGGGUGUAG